RNAcentral lists this transfer RNA (76 nucleotides) under Desulfobacca sp. 4484_104. RNAcentral describes it as "tRNA-Ala". It matches the Rfam family "tRNA". Rfam says of the family: Transfer RNA (tRNA) molecules are approximately 80 nucleotides in length. Their secondary structure includes four short double-helical elements and three loops (D, anti-codon, and T loops). Further hydrogen bonds mediate the characteristic L-shaped molecular structure. tRNAs have two regions of fundamental functional importance: the anti-codon, which is responsible for specific mRNA codon recognition, and the 3' end, to which the tRNAs corresponding amino acid is attached (by aminoacyl-tRNA synthetases). tRNAs cope with the degeneracy of the genetic code in two manners: having more than one tRNA (with a specific anti-codon) for a particular amino acid; and 'wobble' base-pairing, i.e. permitting non-standard base-pairing at the 3rd anti-codon position. The record is from RNAcentral. Lineage: Bacteria; Pseudomonadati; Thermodesulfobacteriota; Desulfobaccia; Desulfobaccales; Desulfobaccaceae. RNAcentral also lists the same sequence under 4 other names.
GGGGAUGUAGCUCAGCUGGGAGAGCGCUUGCUUCGCAUGCAAGAGGUCGGGAGUUCGAAUCUCCUCAUCUCCACCA